This 64-nucleotide transfer RNA is filed under the name Ictidomys tridecemlineatus (thirteen-lined ground squirrel). RNAcentral describes it as "Spermophilus tridecemlineatus (thirteen-lined ground squirrel) tRNA". It matches the Rfam family "tRNA", at positions 5 to 66 of the family's 71-position model. Rfam says of the family: Transfer RNA (tRNA) molecules are approximately 80 nucleotides in length. Their secondary structure includes four short double-helical elements and three loops (D, anti-codon, and T loops). Further hydrogen bonds mediate the characteristic L-shaped molecular structure. tRNAs have two regions of fundamental functional importance: the anti-codon, which is responsible for specific mRNA codon recognition, and the 3' end, to which the tRNAs corresponding amino acid is attached (by aminoacyl-tRNA synthetases). tRNAs cope with the degeneracy of the genetic code in two manners: having more than one tRNA (with a specific anti-codon) for a particular amino acid; and 'wobble' base-pairing, i.e. permitting non-standard base-pairing at the 3rd anti-codon position. The record is from Rfam by way of RNAcentral. Lineage: Eukaryota; Metazoa; Chordata; Mammalia; Rodentia; Sciuridae.
AUGUAGCUCAAUAAGUUGAGCAUUUGCCUAGCAUGCAGAAGGUUCUGGGUUCCAUCCCCAGCAU